GAUGAACGCUGGCGGCGUGCCUAAUACAUGCAAGUCGAGCGAACGGACGAGAAGCUUGCUUCUCUGAUGUUAGCGGCGGACGGGUGAGUAACACGUGGAUAACCUACCUAUAAGACUGGGAUAACUUCGGGAAACCGGAGCUAAUACCGGAUAAUAUUUUGAACCGCAUGGUUCAAAAGUGAAAGACGGUCUUGCUGUCACUUAUAGAUGGAUCCGCGCUGCAUUAGCUAGUUGGUAAGGUAACGGCUUACCAAGGCAACGAUGCAUAGCCGACCUGAGAGGGUGAUCGGCCACACUGGAACUGAGACACGGUCCAGACUCCUACGGGAGGCAGCAGUAGGGAAUCUUCCGCAAUGGGCGAAAGCCUGACGGAGCAACGCCGCGUGAGUGAUGAAGGUCUUCGGUUCGUAAAGCUCUGUUAUUAGGGAAGAACAUAUGUGUAAGUAACUGUGCACAUCUUGACGGUACCUAAUCAGAAAGCCACGGCUAACUACGUG
RNAcentral lists this ribosomal RNA (497 nucleotides) under uncultured bacterium. Its description in RNAcentral is "partial 16S ribosomal RNA". It matches the Rfam family "Bacterial small subunit ribosomal RNA", at positions 28 to 507 of the family's 1533-position model. The record is from RNAcentral.